This 4007-nucleotide long non-coding RNA is filed under the name Medicago truncatula (barrel medic). Its description in RNAcentral is "lncRNA gene49581". The record is from RNAcentral. Lineage: Eukaryota; Viridiplantae; Streptophyta; Magnoliopsida; Fabales; Fabaceae.
CAAGCAACAUAUAUGUAGAAAAAAGUUUCACAAUAUAGAAUAUCACACACAAGUUUCGAGUGCCAACAAGCAUACUCUUCAAACCGAAAGUUCCAUGGAGUUUGAAAAAAGAAACAUCAAGAACAUGUGAAGAACAAGAAUAUCCAUAGCUGACGGUAUUACAAAUGAGGAAGAAAUCUCAUGUCACAAGGUUUAAACAAAAAACCAUACCUUAAAAUAUGAAAUAACUAAUUCUUGAGACUGCUGGUCCCUCUAUUUUGUAAGAGGGAAUAACUUAUCGUAUCAUUCAAUGCCUCUUUCUUAUAUAAGAAUACAUGAAAGCAACUAGAAAAAGAGAAUAGCAACACUUAAUAAAACCACAGAAAAUAUAAUCAAAGAAUAAAAUGAGAAAAAAAAAAAAAAAAAAAAAAAAAAAAAAAAAAAACCUAUUACAGGUAACAAUGUAUCAAACUCCCCCCUCUUUCCCUUCCAUUUUCUCUCCUUCCUCUUUAUCUACACACCCGAAAAAUACAACUUCCAUCAAAAAAUUUGUGAGACUUUUUUCGUUUAUUGUGAUGUGAAGCGUGUCGUAUUCAAUGCAUUGAUUGCUUCUUCAAAAACACCUUCAUUCAGUUUUCAUUUAUUCUUCAUGUAUCCUCACAAUUCAAUCCACAAAUUUCUAAGACAGGACCAUCUCUUGAUACAAAAGGGUUAACUCUAACCCACAAGAGAGUCAAGAUGGAAGCUAGCAAGAUUGACCAAACCAAAACAAUGGUUGGCAUCCUAUCCUGUUUCCCAAGCAAACCCUUGAGGAAUGGAUAAAGAUGUAUGAUGACCCAAAGGGCAAAGAAUAAUCUACCGAACAGAGGUCCCCAUGAGUCAUAACCAUUAUUGAUCGCAUCGGAGACACCAACAAUCACGCCCACAAUAUUCAUGAUUAAUAGCGUCAUUGGAGGGAUUAAUAGUGAAGUCCAUUUGAAUACAUAGAGCUCCGAGAAUUCUCCAUCGUCGGCUGCUUUUGAUGUAACAGUGAAGUUUGUGUCGACACCAGCUAAAACCUUGAGCAAACCUUGGAAAAGGGCAAAAAGAUGUGAUGAAGCACCUCCAAUCACCCAAAACUGUUCAUUCCUCCACCAAUCAUCGAUUCCAACACCACCCCAUUGCAUCUCAAGGAUACCAGUUGCUGCGAUCGAUAUGAAGAGGGCCAUGAACACAAGACUUGCAUAGUUGCUUAUCUGCAUAUCAGAUAAAAAAAAAAAAUGAUAUGUUAGUAACUGUGUCUACUAUUCUGCAAAUACUGAGGCCUGUCCGUUACAGCUUCUUCCUUAAAAAAAAAAAAUCACUAUUUUUUAAAAUAAUCACAUCUAGGAGUUUUAAUCUGUUAGUAACAACUUCUGAAGAAAAAAAAAUAAGAAUCUAAAUAAAUCCCCAAAACUGCUUCAAAAGAGAAACAGUUUUCAGUUGCUUCUCUAGAAAAUCACUUUUGUUUUGAUAGAUGAUUUUUUUAAGAAAAAAUUGUUUUUCAAUGCAGUAAACAAACACAGAAUAGCUUCUGUUUUUCUUAAAAAGUUAUAAAAAAAUCUACAAAUUAUUGAAAGCCAAUUUUUUUUACUCAAUAACAAAUAGACCCUAAAAUUUUGACAAGACAAAGCAACAAAUUUACUUCCUUCUUAAUUCCUUAGGCAGUUAAGGAAAACAUUAAAAGGGAUAUUUUUGAGUGACAGUCAUAAAAUUAUAGGGAAUUAAGAAGCAUACCUCAGGAACAAUAAAUUUUCCGGUCAGAAGACAUAUGGCCGGUAGAGUACAGUAGACAAUCAAUGGGAGGGAAGUCCAAGGAUACACGACUGAAUUUAUGUAGGAAAAACGUUCCAACAACUUCAACCCACCACCGUAGCCGUACCAAAUUGGACAAUGUUUGCUGAAAAAGAUCUCAACAGAACCAAGAGCCCAACGAAGAACUUGGUGUAGACGAUCUGAAAGAUUGAUGGGUGCUGAACCCUUGAAUGCAGGCCUCUUAGGGAUACAAUACACAGACCGCCAACCAUGGCAAUGCAUUUUGAAACCAGUCAAGAUAUCCUCAGUCACAGAACCAUAGAUCCAUCCAACCUAAUCCAAGCCAAUAUUGUGAGUACGUGAAAUAAAUAUCAGAACAAAGACUACUAUUAAUUUACUAAUCAAUUAAAUGGAGGCCAAACUCUGGUCACUGAGCUUGCUUAGAUAUUUACCUCUUUUCCCCAUUCGGUUUUGUCUUCAUAACCACAACUGAUAACUUGAAUGGCUUCUUUUAACAGCGAUGCAGGACUCACUCCAGGUGGAAUUCCACCAUUAUCCAGAAGUGUAGAGGCAACAAACACUGGAGACUGUCCAAACCUCUUCUCCAUUUUCAAUUGAGUCAAAUUGGAUGAUUUCUCGACGAUGGCUCCUGAAGCAGAACAUAGUUAGCAUUAAUUGUAAUCAACCAAAUUUUCUGAAAUAGAAGUUUUUAUCAUAAAGUAAUCACAGCCAAUUGAUCAAAAAUUCUAACCUUCAUUCCCUGCCUCAAUAUUUUCAAGUGCGUGAAUUUGCUUUGAUGCUUCACUAUGCUUCACCUUCUUCUUUUUAUCUUUCUUAUUAUUGAGAUUCUUUUUCUUUCUAGAGCCACAGCACCAGCAGCACCAUUUUGGCAAACAGUUGCAGGUUUUGCUUGGCGGCUUCUUCUUGACAGGUGCAUCAUAUCCGUAGAGUGCAUACCUUCUGAAAACACAUCCAGUUCCAACAUAAAUUGGACCUUGUAAUCCAUCCAAUCCUUUCAUGUUUAUCUGUUUUCAAUCAGGUAGUUAACUUGUCAAGGCAAAGGGAAGAAAGAAAAAACAUUGACAAAAGCAAAGAAUCGAAAAAGCAAAAACUUACAUCAAAAAAUACAACAUUUCUGUUGGAGUAUCUGUCAUGUCUAUCAAUUCCAUCAAAUCUUUGUGGAAAUUGUACAUAGCAGAUCUUCUUGCCAAGUUGAGGGUCCAUCAUAAAACACAUGGCCUCUCUAAGAGCCUUGCUAUUAUUGAUGUAAUGAUCACAGUCAACAUUCAGAAUAUAAGGUGCGUUUGUGAUAAUUGCCGCCGCUCGUACCUACAAAUAUAUUACAAAAACAUGUUAUCGAAGGCCAGUAGAUCAUCAUCAAUAUCAACCUGAACCAAAAUAUAGGUAACUUGAAACUUACCAGAGAAUUCAUGGCUCCAGCCUUUUUGUGGUGAUCAAACCCAGGCCUUUUUUCUCUAGAAACAUAAACUAAGCGAGGUAACUCAUUUCCCUCAACAUCACGAACACCAUCAUGACCAAGGAAGACCUGUAAAACACAAACAAACAAACAAAAAAAGAAUGUCAUCGUUUCAAAUUUGUAGGCAAUGUUGUGAAAAAUCAAGAUUCUAUUUAGGAUCAAGGAGGGGAAUGAAAAAAUCGUAAAACAAGGAUUGUGACAAGGAUCGUAUGAUCCUACCUAAAUUACAAAAUUAUACAUAACAGAUAUACAUAUGCAUGAUAAUCUAUGUAUCUUCUACCUGAAUCAUGCCAGGAUGAUCCCUCACAUCAUUUCCAGGCCACGGAGUCCCAUCCUGCAUAGUCCAUCCAUCCUCGGGAACCUUCUGUGCCGUUGCCACCAAACUAUUAAUCCUCACCUUAAAUUCUUCAUAAUCUCUCUGUAACAACCAAAGAAAUAAAAGUCAUUAACAGUGUCAAAUAAUGCAUUCUUUAGUAACAACAACAGAGACAACCACCAAAUUAUUUUCCAACUAACAACAACAACAGGGAAAAACUAGAAGCAGAGAAAGUUGAAACCUUCAUUGCUCUUCUUUCCCUAACAAACGCGGGAUGCACUUUAUUUUUCAGAUAGUCCAUCUUCUGACCGAAAUACCAUUCUGGGGCACGGGGCUCAAUAUUAUAUUUCUUGCAAAACGGAACCCACUUCCUAGCAAAUUCAGAUGUCUCAGAAAGUGCUUCAAAAGUUAGCAUAGCAGCACCAUCAUCCGAAACAUAGCAUGCAACUUUAUCAACUGGAU